This 253-nucleotide ribosomal RNA is filed under the name uncultured bacterium. RNAcentral describes it as "partial 16S ribosomal RNA". It matches the Rfam family "Bacterial small subunit ribosomal RNA", at positions 524 to 776 of the family's 1533-position model. The record is from RNAcentral.
UACAGAGGAUGCAAGCGUUAUCCGGAAUCACUGGGCAUAAAGCGUCUGUAGGUUGCCAAUCAAGUCUGCUGUUAAAGACUAGGGCUUAACCCUGGGAAAGCAGUGGAAACUAGUCGGCUUGAGUGUGGUAGAGGUAGAGGGAAUUCCUAGUGUAGCGGUGAAAUGCGUAGAUAUUAGGAAGAACACCAAUGGCGAAAGCACUCUACUGGGCCACAACUGACACUGAGAGACGACAGCUAGGGGAGCAAAUGGG